Molecule: ribosomal RNA, 253 nt
Filed under: uncultured bacterium
Lineage: Bacteria
Description: partial 16S ribosomal RNA
Rfam family: Bacterial small subunit ribosomal RNA
Source: RNAcentral
UACGUAGGGGGCUAGCGUUGUCCGGAAUCAUUGGGCGUAAAGAGCGUGUAGGCGGCCCGGUAAGUCCGCUGUGAAAGUCGGGGGCUCAACCCUCGGAUGCCGGUGGAUACUGUCGGGCUCGAGUACGGAAGAGGCGAGUGGAAUUCCUGGUGUAGCGGUGAAAUGCGCAGAUAUCAGGAGGAACACCCAUUGCGAAGGCAGCUCGCUGGGACGUUACUGACGCUGAGACGCGAAAGCGUGGGGAGCAAACAGG